GACGGGGGGGGCAAGUGUUCUUCGGAAUGACUGGGCGUAAAGGGCGCGUAGGCGGUGAAUCGGGUUGGAAGUGAAAGUCGCCAAAAACUGGCGGAAUGCUCUCGAAACCAAUUCACUUGAGUGAGACAGAGGAGAGUGGAAUUUCGUGUGUAGGGGUGAAAUCCGGAGAUCUACGAAGGAACGCCAAAAGCGAAGGCAGCUCUCUGGGUCCCUACCGACGCUGGGGUGCGAAAGCAUGGGGAGCGAACAGG
RNAcentral lists this ribosomal RNA (251 nucleotides) under uncultured bacterium. RNAcentral's name for it is "partial 16S ribosomal RNA". It matches the Rfam family "Bacterial small subunit ribosomal RNA", at positions 524 to 776 of the family's 1533-position model. The record is from RNAcentral.